AUGGUCACAUCAUGUUGAAACACUGGCUCCCAUAUGAUCACCAAAGUUAAGCAACGUUGAGCCUGCUCAGUACGUUGUUGGGUGACCACUUGGGAAUACCAGGUGCUAU
Molecule: non-coding RNA, 109 nt
Organism: Acanthosepion pharaonis
Lineage: Eukaryota; Metazoa; Mollusca; Cephalopoda; Sepiida; Sepiidae
Source: the annotation of a GenBank genome assembly